AAAAUAUAUGUUAAACAUUAGUUCAAAUUAAAGCCUUUUUUUAGCAUAUCAUAUCUUUUUCUAAUCUGAAGAUAUGUUUGUUUUUGUCUUUCUUCUUAAGUUUUAACAUUUAUUUGAGAAGUGAAUCAGGAAUGUCUUGACUUUAAAAAUAAAAUAAGGAUGAUAGUAAAAUAAUAAAAAGAAUGAAAGUUGUUUGAUAAACUCAUCUGGACCUCAGUUGACUUUAAAACUGGAAAGAGGUUCAACCUGGAACCUUAAUUCUUGCCUUUUGCUUCAAAUAUGCAAUGAACAAAGCCACAAGAACCCCACCUCCUCCUGCUCCUGGACACGUCGGUUUCAGCAGCUCAGAGUAAGACUAAAACACACCAAGUUAGUUCUUAUUUCAUUAAUCUUCAGUUCUAAUAGUCUCACCUUGCUUUUUAGAGGUCACUGCACCAUCUGCUGGUUGGAGUUCUCCAUAGAGUUUCUUUGGAGAAUGAUUCCAAUUACAUCUAUACUAAGAUUUCUUAGUUCGACCUUUAGGGUGAUUGAUCCUUCAUCAGUUUCUAAGAUUAAUUGACUAAAUUUACGGUGCAUUUAACAGUUUCAGGAGUAUUGUUGUCGUGAAACUUUGGCACAGUUUCAAUGAGGAAGACCGACCUCGCUUCUGGGGGUGUCAAACUCCAGACCUUGAGGUCCCGCCUCCUGUUGGUUUUCCAGAAAUCCUGUCUCAUCUACAGUUGAUUAUCUGGAUCAAGUGCGUUUUGCCAAUAAGGAGCUUCAACGGCAGGUUGGUUGGAAAAGUUAGCCUGGACUUUCUAAACCAAUAUCUACAUUCCCUGACUUUUCUUUUAAGCCAAUCACAAUCAUGUAGUUGCCUUUAAAAUCAUGGGCAUUUAUCUCUCUACAUUCUAGAUGGCUUUGCCAGCUCUUCUCCACCCUGUCCACCCCCUGGACCAAAGCUUUGUCAUGAACUGGCCUGCGUCUAGGCUCUGGAGUUUAUUCAUCUGUGAUUCGAGCUUAUCCCACCAGCAUGCAGGACGUCAUCAAUCCAAAACCUAAUUGUACGGUCACAAAUACAACUGCCACCACGCAAUGGGGAGGCAAUGGCAGAAUAUUUAAGAUUUCAUGUGGCUGCCUGGUUUUUUGUGUGGUUAUGAAUUUAGAAAGUGGGAGUCAGGCAGCUGUCAGGCAGGGAUGACAUUAUGAAAUCGGGUGAUAGCUGGGCCGCCAGAGAGGUGGCGGGGUUGCAGACAAAUCACUACCCAGCAGUAGUUUGGAUUAGAUGAUGUCCAAAUGUUUUUGGAUAGAAGCCGUUCAUAUCAAGUGCCACCAGCCGCCCGGUAGCCCAUCACUGGACUGCCGCUGCAUGACCUCAAAAUGAAAAUGUGCACGUUGGGCCACUGACCGAUGUCAACUUUUAGAGACUAAUUGUCCUGUUGUAAAACUUCUUUUUUAAACUUCCCCGGCCAUCGUGCAGUGCCAGCAUGGGGGCCACCUGCUGAAUAUGCAGAAAAACUUGCAUUUAGGUCGCUGUGCAGUGGCACCGUCAAAUCCUUUGAACUUAUUUGUUUGUGAUAUGAAAGAAUUCCUGUGAUCUGUCAUUAUUAAAAUGCAGGUAAAGACACUUAGUUAAAAGUAGAUGUAGAAAUAAAAUAAAGCUGACAGUAAUAUUUAUUUCUGCAUCGUUGUAGUUUUGUUUGCUUGUAGUAUGUUUAUUGAAAAAUAAGUCUUUUUUUCUGAUUUUCAGCUUCACACAGUCACCAUCUUACGUGAACAUCCAACUCAUGAUCACGCCAUCAAUCACACCCUUUGUGGGUUUGUGUUAAGGAGAAUUAUGCACCUUAGUAAUGCUGUUCAGCUUGUAGACAAUUCUGAAAUAAACCACCACAAAGCAAACACAACUGUAGUGCUGCACCCUCAACUUUCCAAUUCUGUUGUUUUUACAUUUUUAAAACAUUUGAGCUUAUUCGUGAAGUGUGUUUUUCUUAGUUAAGCUGUCUUUUACACAUGCAUAUUGAAAUGUAAAUUUCUUUACCAAUGAAGAAAAAUACAUGUAUAAAUGAUUGGAAUGAUAAGCAUUGUUAAAGUAAGCCAUGAGUUGAAAGAUUUAGUUUCCUGCUUAGUGGUUGGGCUACUUGUUCCGUGUGUCACCGAGGAUGGAAUUCUAGAAUAUCUACAAUGUCAUAGUUAAAGAUGAAAAAACUUUUAUGUUACAUGUUUCCCUAUUUAAAAAAAAGAGAUUUUUGGCACAAGUAACUCAAAAUGUGGAACUGUAAAAUUAAAUAGCCUGCUAACAAAAAUAAAUUGAUUUGAAGUGUGUCUUGUUUUUAUUUUCUUUCUUUUAACAAGCACAUGUCUAGUCUAAAGAGACUGGAUACAUUUUUCAAGGACUUUUAAGAAUAAAAAAAUCUACUUUGGCUUUUAAAUAUUUGAAAUAUACUGACCCUAAUAUUGUGUCAUAGAAGAAAACGUCCUCAAAGGAUCAAGUUUUUUGUAAAAAAAAUAAAUAAAUAAAUAAAAAAACAUCCUAAAUAUUAUUGUUAGUUUUUUGGGAACUAUUAGGGCCAUUUUACAAAUAAUUUAUUAUUAUUUAUUAUUUUUUUUUUUUUGCAAUUUUAAAUCUCAUAAAUUUACAAGAAAAAGUUGUAACUGUUAAAUUGCAAAAAUAAAGUUGUAUAUUUAGGACUUCAAAAAUCACAGGCUAAAUGUAUGACUUUUUUCUCAUAAAAUCAUUACUUAAAAAAGAAUAAAUUUUUCGAGAAAAAGUAAUAAAUUAAUGAGAAAAAACACCAUAGUGUUAUGUUUAUCUGAACUGUGCCUGUGGAUGAAAGAUGUGGAGCAUCUUGUCAAGCUUUAUUUAGAAAUAGGUUUAAAAAAAAAAAAAGAAA
This is a long non-coding RNA of Oryzias melastigma (Indian medaka), 2870 nucleotides long. RefSeq lists it as uncharacterized. The transcript is spliced from 2 exons. The record is from RefSeq and is a predicted model, not a curated record. Lineage: Eukaryota; Metazoa; Chordata; Actinopteri; Beloniformes; Adrianichthyidae.